This is a long non-coding RNA of Dendronephthya gigantea, 937 nucleotides long. RefSeq lists it as uncharacterized. The transcript is spliced from 3 exons. The record is from RefSeq and is a predicted model, not a curated record. NCBI's taxonomy places the organism in Eukaryota, Metazoa, Cnidaria, Anthozoa, Malacalcyonacea, Nephtheidae.
AAUAGAUUAAAUUGUGACAGUCGUCUAAAGUAUCCUUUGGCGCGUUGAAGCUGACAGUACCACUCAUCUCACGUUUCUACAAUAUCACUGAAGAAAAUUUCAAGAGUUUAAAAGUCGACGGAUUAAGACAUGCAUUCAACCGUAUUUGUUCUGUUCAUAUUUGGAACUUGUUUGCUUCAAGUACAAGGCGAUUGGUUUCGCGACAUGGAGUCGACUGAGAAUCGAGAACGCAGCCUGCCCAAUGAAGUUACUCUAAACGGCGACGUUAAGAAAUGUGGAAUUGUCCUCCAACCAGCCAUGAAGUGCAGCUGUCAGGCCCUCGUUUGUGAUGCCCAGGAGUCUUGCGAGCACUCGUUCGGGCCAUUCAAAGGCUACCGGUAUGAGCUGGGAUGUAAGCUGACGAAGCCCUGGGACCAAAUCGACGCGCAAGCCGCGACCUUUGGAGGGCCCAGUGAUGACUGCUACUGCAAGGGUAGAGCGAUUAUGGCAUGACUAGCCGUGGACUAAGUUCGAGUUGAACUUUAUGUAUACGUGCGGUCUAGACUAGUAGUGAUAAUAUCGAAAAGAUUUGAAUAUAUAUGUAACAUAAUUGAGAUAUAAGAUUAAUAAACUCCAUGAGCUAUAUAGUUCACUUUGUUUAUUUCACUGAGUUUUUAUACAGAGCUCUAAUAUUCAAAGACCAUUUUCUCUUUUGAUAGAUGUGAACGAGUGAAUGUGUUACUGAAGUUCAAAUAAGAGCUCUUGUACAUCAGAACAUUCGUAACUAAUUACUCGUUCCCAUCCAUCGAAAGGAGAAAAUCGCAUGCACAUUAAUCGCAGCAAAAAUCGCAAGUGUAACCUUGCUUAUGAAAUUUCUCCUCUGAUAUACGGAUAUUGUUUGACAAGGAAAUAAUUCCACGUUAAUGUAAACAAGUCAACUGUAAAGUGUUAUUCCAGA